Molecule: non-coding RNA, 24 nt
Filed under: Cricetulus griseus (Chinese hamster)
Lineage: Eukaryota; Metazoa; Chordata; Mammalia; Rodentia; Cricetidae
Source: RNAcentral
AACAUGGCUCGCACCAAGCAGACG